AACGAACGCUGGCGGCAUGCCUAACACAUGCAAGUCGAACGAGACCUUCGGGUCUAGUGGCGCACGGGUGCGUAACGCGUGGGAACCUGCCCUUAGGUUCGGAAUAACUCCCCGAAAGGGGUGCUAAUACCGGAUAAUGUCUUCGGACCAAAGAUUUAUCGCCUUUGGAUGGGCCCGCGUUGGAUUAGCUAGUUGGUAGGGUAAAAGCCUACCAAGGCGACGAUCCAUAGCUGGUCUGAGAGGAUGAUCAGCCACACUGGGACUGAGACACGGCCCAGACUCCUGCGGGAGGCAGGAGUGGGGAAUAGUGGACAAUGGGCGAAAGCCUGAUCCAGCAAUGCCCCGUGAGUGAUGAAGGCCUUAGGGUUGUAAAGCUCUUUUACCCGGGAUGAUAAUGACAGUACCGGGAGAAUAAGCUCCGGCUAACUCCGU
This 432-nucleotide ribosomal RNA is filed under the name uncultured bacterium. RNAcentral describes it as "partial 16S ribosomal RNA". It matches the Rfam family "Bacterial small subunit ribosomal RNA", at positions 29 to 506 of the family's 1533-position model. The record is from RNAcentral.